GUGUCAGCAGCCGCGGUAAUACGUAGGAUGCAAGCGUUGUCCGGAAUUAUUGGGCGUAAAGAGCGCGCAGGCGGUAACUCAAGUCAGAUGUGAAAUAUCCGGGCUUAACCCGGAGGGGUCAUUUGAAACUGAGUAACUAGAGUACAGCAGAGGAUAGCGGAAUUCCCGGUGUAGUGGUGAAAUGCGUAGAUAUCGGGAGGAACACCAGUGGCGAAGGCGGCUAUCUGGGCUGAAACUGACGCUGAGGCGCGAAGGCUAGGGGAGCAAACAGGAUUAGAAACCCCUGUAGUCC
RNAcentral lists this ribosomal RNA (292 nucleotides) under uncultured bacterium. RNAcentral's name for it is "partial 16S ribosomal RNA". It matches the Rfam family "Bacterial small subunit ribosomal RNA", at positions 505 to 796 of the family's 1533-position model. The record is from RNAcentral.